Molecule: ribosomal RNA, 422 nt
Filed under: uncultured bacterium
Lineage: Bacteria
Description: bacterial SSU rRNA
Rfam family: Bacterial small subunit ribosomal RNA
Source: RNAcentral
GAAUGCGAUUCAGGCCUAACACAUGCAAGUCGAGCGAUGAAGCACCUUCGGGUGUGAAUUAGCGGCGAACGGGUGAGGAACACGUGAGAAAUCUGCCUUCAACUCUGGGAUAACUCCGGGAAACCGGGGCUAAUACCGGAUAUGAGCCUCGAUCGCAUGAUCGGGGCUGGAAAGUUUUUCGGUUGAAGAUGAUCUCGCGGCCUAUCAGCUUGUUGGUGAGGUAAUGGCUCACCAAGGCGACGACGGGUAGCCGGCCUGAGAGGGCGACCGGCCACACUGGGACUGAGACACGGCCCAGACUCCUACGGGAGGCAGCAGUGGGGAAUAUUGGGCAAUGGAGGAAACUCUGACCCAGCGACGCCGCGUGAGGGAUGAAAACGGUGUCGGGUUGUAAACCUCUUUCAGUAGGGAAGAAGCGAAAG